RNAcentral lists this ribosomal RNA (468 nucleotides) under uncultured bacterium. RNAcentral's name for it is "partial 16S ribosomal RNA". It matches the Rfam family "Bacterial small subunit ribosomal RNA", at positions 28 to 507 of the family's 1533-position model. The record is from RNAcentral.
GACGAACGCUGGCGGCGUGCUUAACACAUGCAAGUCGAACGGAAAGGCCCUGCUUUUGUGGGGUGCUCGAGUGGCGAACGGGUGAGUAACACGUGAGUAACCUGCCCUUGACUUUGGGAUAACUUCAGGAAACUGGGGCUAAUACCGGAUAGGAGCUCCUGCUGCAUGGUGGGGGUUGGAAAGUUUCGGCGGUUGGGGAUGGACUCGCGGCUUAUCGGCUUGUUGGUGGGGUAGUGGCUUACCAAGGCUUUGACGGGUAGCCGGCCUGAGAGGGUGACCGGCCACAUGGGGACUGAGAUACGGCCCAGACUCCUACGGGAGGCAGCAGUGGGGAAUAUUGCACAAUGGGCGGAAGCCUGAUACAGCAACGCCGCGUGCGGGAUGACGGCCUUCGGGUUGUAAACCGCUGUCGCCUGUGACGAAGCGUGAGUGACGGUAAUGGGUAAAGAAGCACCGGCUAACUACGUG